This 551-nucleotide long non-coding RNA is filed under the name Callithrix jacchus (white-tufted-ear marmoset). RNAcentral describes it as "lncRNA (ENSCJAG00000070504.1)". Lineage: Eukaryota; Metazoa; Chordata; Mammalia; Primates; Cebidae. The record is from RNAcentral.
AUGAUUGACAUGGGGCACAGGGCCGGAGGAAAAACACCACAGACUUACAUGAGGUUUGUAUUGUCUUUAAUUAGAUUCAAAACUCACAGGAAACCCUGCUGCUUAAGAGAGAAAGGAAGGAAAAGACCCCUGAACGGGAGGAGCAAGAUGAAGUAACACUAGACCAGACGACUGAAACACUUCAGUGAUCUCCAGCAACACUGGGACCAAAACCAACUGGAUGAACUUUGAUGGGAGGAAAAGCAAGAGCCUGUGUUGGAUUUCCCCGACAUCUGCACUUAACACAGAACAAGCAAUGAUAGCAUCUAAAGGACCCUCUUGUUUGUGAGUUUGGUGUGAGCUAACACCAUGUGAGUGUCUACAACACAUGCAAAUUUAGUUUGCCUGACGAGGUUAGCCGUGCCUUGAAUUUAAAAACGGAGAAUUAUGUGACCGGCCCCAGGUACAAUAAGCAGACAAGGCAGCUCUUCUCAGUAGAAUAUUAUUACACAUCUCAGAGACCCCCACGGAGUGUAGUUGGAACAUGAUGACUUGAAUUAGAUUGCUAUCAA